CUUCAGCGACCAAAUUCAGCUUACAGGAUUCAAACCAGCAUUAUUGCAGAGGGAGCUGCAUGCAUCAGCUGAAAGGCGCUUUCUUUUUAUCUGCUGUUGGACUGUAGCAGCCUUACCACCACGGCGCAGCCACAGUGAGAGACAUGGACACCUUCAUGCAGUAUGUGGAGUUCCUGCAACACAGACCAGUCUGGGAUCAGUCAUUACAGCGUUUAUUAAAUUCUCUGUGAGAUGAAGACUGGAGCGAGCAGUUUACCGAGGGAUGUUCAGAGAUAUAAAGGUUAAUAAGUGAGUACCAUAUCAUCAUGCAUCUCGAGGACUCGUCUCUAUGUGACGCCCACACAGGACUAAUUUUAGAGUCCUCCAUAUUUAAAUUCAGGUUUUUUUUCCCUUUGUCUGUACAUCUAUUUCUUUGUUGUUGUUGUUUCUUAUUAUUAUUUCUGUUGAAAAUGUAAUAAAUAAAUGUUGAAUCUGAAAGGUAAUAUUUUUGUAUUUCAGUGCUUCUGGUCUUCAUCCGUUAUUUUCAUCAACA
Molecule: long non-coding RNA, 532 nt
Organism: Oryzias melastigma (Indian medaka)
Lineage: Eukaryota; Metazoa; Chordata; Actinopteri; Beloniformes; Adrianichthyidae
Exons: 4
Source: RefSeq, a predicted model, not a curated record